GUUAUAUGGUCAAGUGAAGAAGCGCAUACGGUGGAUGCCUUGGCAGUCAGAGGCGAUGAAAGACGUGGUAGCCUGCGAAAAGCUUCGGGGAGUCGGCAAACAGACUUUGAUCCGGAGAUCUCUGAAUGGGGGAACCCACCUAGGAUAACCUAGGUAUCUUGUACUGAAUCCAUAGGUGCAAGAGGCGAACCAGGGGAACUGAAACAUCUAAGUACCCUGAGGAAAAGAAAUCAACCGAGAUUCCCUUAGUAGUGGCGAGCGAACGGGGAUUAGCCCUUAAGCUUCAUUGAUUUUAGCGGAACGCUCUGGAAAGUGCGGCCAUAGUGGGUGAUAGCCCCGUACGCGAAAGGAUCUUUGAAGUGAAAUCGAGUAGGACGGAGCACGAGAAACUUUGUCUGAACAUGGGGGGACCAUCCUCCAAGGCUAAAUACUACUGACUGACCGAUAGUGAACCAGUACCGUGAGGGAAAGGCGAAAAGAACCCCGGAGAGGGGAGUGAAAUAGAACCUGAAACCGUAUGCGUACAAGCAGUGGGAGCCUACUUGUUAGGUGACUGCGUACCUUUUGUAUAAUGGGUCAGCGACUUAUAUUCAGUGGCAAGCUUAACCGUAUAGGGUAGGCGUAGCGAAAGCGAGUCUUAAUAGGGCGUUUAGUCGCUGGGUAUAGACCCGAAACCGGGCGAUCUAUCCAUGAGCAGGUUGAAGGUUGGGUAACACUGACUGGAGGACCGAACCCACUCCCGUUGAAAAGGUAGGGGAUGACUUGUGGAUCGGAGUGAAAGGCUAAUCAAGCUCGGAGAUAGCUGGUUCUCCUCGAAAGCUAUUUAGGUAGCGCCUCAUGUAUCACUCUGGGGGGUAGAGCACUGUUUCGGCUAGGGGGUCAUCCCGACUUACCAAACCGAUGCAAACUCCGAAUACCCAGAAGUGCCGAGCAUGGGAGACACACGGCGGGUGCUAACGUCCGUCGUGAAAAGGGAAACAACCCAGACCGCCAGCUAAGGUCCCAAAGUUGUGGUUAAGUGGUAAACGAUGUGGGAAGGCUUAGACAGCUAGGAGGUUGGCUUAGAAGCAGCCAUCCUUUAAAGAAAGCGUAAUAGCUCACUAGUCGAGUCGGCCUGCGCGGAAGAUGUAACGGGGCUCAAACCACACACCGAAGCUGCGGGUGUCACGUAAGUGACGCGGUAGAGGAGCGUUCUGUAAGCCUGUGAAGGUGAGUUGAGAAGCUUGCUGGAGGUAUCAGAAGUGCGAAUGCUGACAUGAGUAACGACAAUGGGUGUGAAAAACACCCACGCCGAAAGACCAAGGGUUCCUGCGCAACGUUAAUCGACGCAGGGUUAGUCGGUUCCUAAGGCGAGGCUGAAAAGCGUAGUCGAUGGGAAACAGGUUAAUAUUCCUGUACUUCUGGUUACUGCGAUGGAGGGACGGAGAAGGCUAGGCCAGCUUGGCGUUGGUUGUCCAAGUUUAAGGUGGUAGGCUGAAAUCUUAGGUAAAUCCGGGGUUUCAAGGCCGAGAGCUGAUGACGAGUCGUCUUUUAGAUGACGAAGUGGUUGAUGCCAUGCUUCCAAGAAAAGCUUCUAAGCUUCAGGUAACCAGGAACCGUACCCCAAACCGACACAGGUGGUCGGGUAGAGAAUACCAAGGCGCUUGAGAGAACUCGGGUGAAGGAACUAGGCAAAAUGGCACCGUAACUUCGGGAGAAGGUGCGCCGGCUAGGGUGAAGGAUUUACUCCGUAAGCUCUGGCUGGUCGAAGAUACCAGGCCGCUGCGACUGUUUAUUAAAAACACAGCACUCUGCAAACACGAAAGUGGACGUAUAGGGUGUGACGCCUGCCCGGUGCCGGAAGGUUAAUUGAUGGGGUUAGCGCAAGCGAAGCUCUUGAUCGAAGCCCCGGUAAACGGCGGCCGUAACUAUAACGGUCCUAAGGUAGCGAAAUUCCUUGUCGGGUAAGUUCCGACCUGCACGAAUGGCGUAACGAUGGCGGCGCUGUCUCCACCCGAGACUCAGUGAAAUUGAAAUCGCUGUGAAGAUGCAGUGUAUCCGCGGCUAGACGGARAGACCCCGUGAACCUUUACUGUAGCUUUGCACUGGACUUUGAGCCUGCYUGUGUAGGAUAGGUGGGAGGCUUUGAAGCGUGGACGCCAGUUCGCGUGGAGCCAUCCUUGAAAUACCACCCUGGCAUGCUUGAGGUUCUAACUCUGGUCCGUGAUCCGGAUCGAGGACAGUGUAUGGUGGGCAGUUUGACUGGGGCGGUCUCCUCCUAAAGAGUAACGGAGGAGUACGAAGGUGCGCUCAGACCGGUCGGAAAUCGGUCGCAGAGUAUAAAGGCAAAAGCGCGCUUGACUGCGAGACAGACACGUCGAGCAGGUACGAAAGUAGGUCUUAGUGAUCCGGUGGUUCUGUAUGGAAGGGCCAUCGCUCAACGGAUAAAAGGUACUCCGGGGAUAACAGGCUGAUACCGCCCAAGAGUUCAUAUCGACGGCGGUGUUUGGCACCUCGAUGUCGGCUCAUCACAUCCUGGGGCUGAAGCCGGUCCCAAGGGUAUGGCUGUUCGCCAUUUAAAGUGGUACGCGAGCUGGGUUUAGAACGUCGUGAGACAGUUCGGUCCCUAUCUGCCGUGGACGUUUGAGAUUUGAGAGGGGCUGCUCCUAGUACGAGAGGACCGGAGUGGACGAACCUCUGGUGUUCCGGUUGUCACGCCAGUGGCAUUGCCGGGUAGCUAUGUUCGGAAAAGAUAACCGCUGAAAGCAUCUAAGCGGGAAACUUGCCUCAAGAUGAGAUCUCACUGGGAACUUGAUUCCCCUGAAGGGCCGUCGAAGACUACGACGUUGAUAGGCUGGGUGUGUAAGCGUUGUGAGGCGUUGAGCUAACCAGUACUAAUUGCCCGUGAGGCUUGACCAUAUAACACCCAAACA
RNAcentral lists this ribosomal RNA (2912 nucleotides) under Pseudomonas aeruginosa. Its description in RNAcentral is "23S ribosomal RNA". It matches the Rfam family "Bacterial large subunit ribosomal RNA". The record is from RNAcentral. Lineage: Bacteria; Pseudomonadati; Pseudomonadota; Gammaproteobacteria; Pseudomonadales; Pseudomonadaceae.